GAUGAACGCUGGCGGCGUGCCUAAUACAUGCAAGUCGAGCGAACAGACGAGGAGCUUGCUCCUCUGACGUUAGCGGCGGACGGGUGAGUAACACGUGGAUAACCUACCUAUAAGACUGGGAUAACUUCGGGAAACCGGAGCUAAUACCGGAUAAUAUAUUGAACCGCAUGGUUCAAUAGUGAAAGACGGUUUUGCUGUCACUUAUAGAUGGAUCCGCGCCGCAUUAGCUAGUUGGUAAGGUAACGGCUUACCAAGGCGACGAUGCGUAGCCGACCUGAGAGAGUGGUCGGCCACACUGGAACUGAGACGCGGGCCAGACUCCUACGGGAGGCAGCAGUAGGGAAUCUUCCGCAAUAGGCGAAAGCCUGACGGAGCAACGCCGCGUAAGUGAUGAAGGUGUUCGGAUCGUAAAACUCUGUUAUUAGGGAAGAACAAAUGUGUAAGUAACUAUGCACGUCUUGACGGUACCUAAUCAGAAAGCCACGGCUAACUACGUG
RNAcentral lists this ribosomal RNA (497 nucleotides) under uncultured bacterium. Its description in RNAcentral is "partial 16S ribosomal RNA". It matches the Rfam family "Bacterial small subunit ribosomal RNA", at positions 28 to 507 of the family's 1533-position model. The record is from RNAcentral.